GACGAACGCUGGCGGCGUGCUUAACACAUGCAAGUCGAACGGAAAGGCCCUGCUUUUGUGGGGUGCUCGAGUGGCGAACGGGUGAGUAACACGUGAGUAACCUGCCCUUGACUUUGGGAUAAAUUCAGGAAACUGGGGCUAAUACCGGAUAGGAGCUCCUGCUGCAUGGUGGGGGUUGGAAAGUUUCGGCGGUUGGGGAUGGACUCGCGGCUUAUCAGCUUGUUGGUGGGGUAGUGGAUUACCAAGGCUUUGACGGGUAGCCGGACUGAGAGGGUGACCGGCCACAUUGGGACUGAGAUACGGCCCAGACUGCUACGGGAGGCAGCAGUGGGGAAUAGUGCACAAUGGGCGGAAGCCUGAUGCAGCAACGCCGCGUGCGGGAUGACGGCCUUCGGGUUGUAAACCGCGUUCGCCUGUGACGAAGCGUGAGUGACGGUAAUGGGUAAAGAAGCACCGGCUAACUACGUG
This 468-nucleotide ribosomal RNA is filed under the name uncultured bacterium. RNAcentral describes it as "partial 16S ribosomal RNA". It matches the Rfam family "Bacterial small subunit ribosomal RNA", at positions 28 to 507 of the family's 1533-position model. The record is from RNAcentral.